This 524-nucleotide ribosomal RNA is filed under the name uncultured bacterium. RNAcentral describes it as "partial 16S ribosomal RNA". It matches the Rfam family "Bacterial small subunit ribosomal RNA", at positions 28 to 523 of the family's 1533-position model. The record is from RNAcentral.
GGCGAACGCUGGCGGCGUGCCUAAUACAUGCAAGUCGAGCGCAGGAAGCUGACGGAACUCUUCGGAGGGAAGGCAGCGGAAUGAGCGGCGGACGGGUGAGUAACACGUAAGGAACCUGCCUCAAGGAUUGGGAUAACUCCGAGAAAUCGGAGCUAAUACCGGAUAGUUCAACGGACCGCAUGGUCCGCUGAUGAAAGGCGCUCCGGCGUCACCUUGAGAUGGCCUUGCGGUGCAUUAGCUAGUUGGUGGGGUAACGGCCCACCAAGGCGACGAUGCAUAGCCGACCUGGGAGGGUGAUCGGCCACACGGGGACUGAGACACGGCCCAGACUCCUACGGGAGGCAGCAGUAGGGAAUCUUCCACAAUGGACGAAAGUCUGAUGGAGCAACGCCGCGUGAGUGAUGAAGGUUUUCGGAUCGUAAAACUCUGUUGUAAGGGAAGAACACGUACGAGAGGAAAUGCUCGUACCUUGACGGUACCUUACGAGAAAGCCACGGCUAACUACGUGCCAGCAGCCGCCGUAA